ACUACCCACUAGGUCAUUCCUUUCACUUUCUAAUGAUGCUCUUGCUUUUACUUUUCUAGUGGGUUCAAGAAAGAUUUCAAUCUUUUUCUUCUUAGUUUCCACCAAGGACAUCAUUUCUUGGGAAAAACAUGUACAUAAUGGAAACUGUUGCUUCUCCUCUAGCAGAAAAUGAUGAAGUUGGAUGAAGUUAAUUAUUAUUUUCAACAUAGCAUGUCUUUCUUGGUAAGAUGAAGAAGAAACAAGAUGAUAUAAGCUUAUCCAUUAAGUUGGAUAAGGUAUAUAAUUUCAUUUUGAUAAAAUGGCAUUAUGAAUGAGGUGAUAUACAAGCUUCAUCUUUGAAUAAAGCAUAUAGAUAAGAUUUGUAUUUCCAUACUUUCACUAUUCAUGAUUUCUCAAAGACGGCAACAAUGAUUGCGUUGAAUUUUAUUUCACUGUAGUAAAAUAAAUGAAAAAAAGGCCAAUAGUUUUAUUCUGCUCAAACUUUAGGAUUGAGGGAAAUGAGAGGCUAAUGGGUGAAAUUAUUCAAUGAACCCGUCGUAAUUGCCAUGAACUUUUCU
RNAcentral lists this unclassified non-coding RNA (557 nucleotides) under Hevea brasiliensis (rubber tree). Lineage: Eukaryota; Viridiplantae; Streptophyta; Magnoliopsida; Malpighiales; Euphorbiaceae. The record is from RNAcentral.